Long non-coding RNA from Oncorhynchus keta (chum salmon), 1616 nucleotides. RefSeq lists it as uncharacterized. NCBI's taxonomy places the organism in Eukaryota, Metazoa, Chordata, Actinopteri, Salmoniformes, Salmonidae. The record is from RefSeq and is a predicted model, not a curated record. The transcript is spliced from 3 exons.
AGCUGAGCUAGGAGAGGUGGAGAGAUAAGCAGUACCAUUAAACAGAACUUAGUAGGGUGGGAGCAGCCGAGCUAGGAGAGGUGGAGAGAUAAGCAGUACCAUUAAACAGAACUUAGUAGGGUGGGGGGAGCAGCUGAGCUAGGAGAGGUGGAGAGAUAAGCAGUACCAUUAAACAGAACUUAGUAGGGUGGGGGAGCAGCCGAGCUAGGAGAGGUGGAGAGAUAAGCAGUACCAUUAAACAGAACUUAGUAGGGUGGGGGAGCAGCCGAGCUAGGAGAGGUGGAGAGAUAAGCAGUACCAUUAAACAGAACUUAGUAGGGUGGGAUGAGCAGCUGAGCUAGGAGAGGUGGAGAGAUAAGCAGUACCAUUAAACAUAACUUAGUAGGGUGGGAGCAGCCGAGCUAGAAGAGGUGGAGAGAUAAGCAGUACCAUUAAACAGAACUUAGUAGGAUGGGAGCAGCUGAGCUCGGAGAGGUGGAGAGAUAAGCUGUACCAUUAAACAGAACUUAGUAGGGGGGGAGCAGCUGAGCUAGGAGAGGUGGAGAGAUAAGCAGUACCAUUAAACAGAACUUAGUAGGGUGGGGGGGAGCUGCCGAGCUAGGAGAGGUGGAGAGAUAAGCAGUACCAUUAAACAGAACUUAGUAGGGGGGAGCAGCUGAGCUAGGAGAGGUGGAGAGAUAAGCAGUACCAUUAAACAGAACUUAGUAGGGGGGCAGCAGCCGAGCUAGGAGAGGUGGAGAGAUAAGCAGUACCAUUAAACAGAACUUAGUAGGGUGGGGGAGCAGCCGAGCUAGGAGAGGUGGAGAGAUAAGCAGUACCAUUAAACAGAACUUAGUAGGGGGGGAGCAGCCGAGCUAGGAGAGGUGGAGAGAUAAGCAGUACCAUUAAACAGAACUUAGUAGGGUGGGGGGAGCAGCUGAGCUAGGAGAGGUGGAGAGAUAAGCAGUACCAUUAAACAGAACUUAGUAGGGGGGGAGCAGCAGAGCUAGGAGUGGUGGAGAGAUAAGCAGUACCAUUAAACAGAACUUAGUAGGGGGGGGGAGCAGCCGAGCUAGGAGAGGUGGAGAGAUAAGCAGUACCAUUAAACAGAACUUAGUAGGGGGGGAGCAGCCGAGCUAGGAGAGGUGGAGAGAUAAGCAGUACCAUUAAACAGAACUUAGUAGGGUGGGGGGAGCAGCUGAGCUAGGAGAGGUGGAGAGAUAAGCAGUACCAUUAAACAGAACUUAGUAGGGUGGGGGAGCAGCCGAGCUAGGAGAGGUGGAGAGAUAAGCAGUACCAUUAAACAGAACUUAGUAGGGUGGGGGAGCAGCCGAGCUAGGAGAGGUGGAGAGAUAAGCAGUACCAUUAAACAGAACUUAGUAGGGUGGGGGGAGCAGCUGAGCUAGGAGAGGUGGAGAGAUAAGCAGUACCAUUAAACAUAACUUAGUAGGGUGGGAGCAGCCGAGCUAGAAGAGGUGGAGAGAUAAGCAGUACCAUUAAACCGAACUUAGUAGGAUGGGAGCAGCUGAGCUCGGAGAGGUGGAGAGAUAAGCUGUACCAUUAAACAGAACUUAGUAGGGGGGGAGCAGCUGAGCUAGGAGAGGUGGAGAGAUAAGCAGUACCAUUAAACAGAACUU